GAUGAACGCUGGCGGCGUGCCUAAUACAUGCAAGUCGAGCGAACAGAUAAGGAGCUUGCUCCUUUGACGUUAGCGGCGGACGGGUGAGUAACACGUGGGUAACCUACCUAUAAGACUGGAAUAACUCCGGGAAACCGGGGCUAAUGCCGGAUAACAUUUAGAACCGCAUGGUUCUAAAGUGAAAGAUGGUUUUGCUAUCACUUAUAGAUGGACCCGCGCCGUAUUAGCUAGUUGGUAAGGUAACGGCUUACCAAGGCAACGAUACGUAGCCGACCUGAGAGGGGGGUGGGCACAAGUGGACCUAGACACGGGUCCGACCCCCAACGGGGGGAAGAGGGGGGAAUUCUUCCGAAAGGGGGGAAACCCGGACGAGGCAACGCCGGGUGGGGAAUAAGGGUUUUCGGUUCGAAAACCUCUUUUAUUGGGAAAAAAAAAAUGGUUAGGUAACUGGCCCAGUUUUGACGUUCCCUAAUAAAAAAGCCCCGGCAAACUACGG
RNAcentral lists this ribosomal RNA (496 nucleotides) under uncultured bacterium. Its description in RNAcentral is "partial 16S ribosomal RNA". It matches the Rfam family "Bacterial small subunit ribosomal RNA", at positions 28 to 506 of the family's 1533-position model. The record is from RNAcentral.